UACAGAGGUCUCAAGCGUUGUUCGGAUUCAUUGGGCGUAAAGGGUUCGUAGGCGGCUCGGUAAGUCGGGUGUGAAAUCUCGGAGCUUAACUCCGAAACUGCAUUCGAUACUGCCGUGCUUGAGGACUGGAGAGGAGACUGGAAUUUACGGUGUAGCGGUGAAAUGCGUAGAUAUCGUAAGGAAGACCAGUGGCGAAGGCGGGUCUCUGGACAGUUCCUGACGCUGAGGCACGAAGGUCAGGGGAGCAAACGGG
Molecule: ribosomal RNA, 253 nt
Filed under: uncultured bacterium
Lineage: Bacteria
Description: partial 16S ribosomal RNA
Rfam family: Bacterial small subunit ribosomal RNA
Source: RNAcentral